AAGCCCUUUUAUUAAUCAUCUGCGUGAUCUUACUCAGUGACUAAUAAAGAGCUUGC
This 56-nucleotide microRNA precursor is filed under the name Monodelphis domestica (gray short-tailed opossum). RNAcentral describes it as "microRNA mdo-mir-7373c precursor". Lineage: Eukaryota; Metazoa; Chordata; Mammalia; Didelphimorphia; Didelphidae. The record is from miRBase by way of RNAcentral.